Molecule: long non-coding RNA, 5494 nt
Filed under: Sus scrofa (pig)
Lineage: Eukaryota; Metazoa; Chordata; Mammalia; Artiodactyla; Suidae
Description: lncRNA (ENSSSCG00000059301.1)
Source: RNAcentral
AAGUCAAUGAAUGAGAACAACACAAAAUCAUUGUAAAUCACACAAAAAUGUGAGGUCAAGAUUAGACAUGACCUCGGCAGCCCAGUGAACCUCAUUCAUACAAAUGAAUUUUGUGUUUUGUUUUGAAUUGCAAUCAUUGUUCAGUAUGACAGCUUACAUUAGAGAAAGUAGCUAAGGGCUUUCUAAUGACCACUGGUUUAUUGGACAGGCCCUGCAUGCUGAGCUGACUUCCAGGAGUUAUGCUGUCAGCACUGUGCAAUGGGGAAUGAAUCUAUGGUGGUGUUUGCAACUCCAUGCACCACAACCAAUUCCUGUAACUUCUAGCAGGAGAUCCCAGGUUGGGGGACCAGACACAGGUGUCUCAGGACCAGCUUUCCAAGAUUUAUCUUAGCUUAAUGCCCUAAUACCUAGAGAUGAACCUAACCUCAUACCCCCAAAACAAUGUAUCUCAAGCCUUUUGAAUCCUAAGACUAGCCCUGAACUUCAUUCCCAAACCAGCAUCUAAGUCAAAAGAAACAAAAAAACCUUUUUAGGUUUUUAUCUCUUUAUUGAUAUUUCCAUACAAUAAUUUCAUGCAUUGUGUUCUUGGCCUUCUUCAAAUGUUUUUGUUCUUUAAAUAUCUUUAAGUUGGUUGUUUUAAAGUCUUUGUCUAGUAGGUCUGCCUUCAGGUCUUUUUCAGGGAUGGUUUCUGAUGAUUUAACUUUUUCCCUUUGAUUAAGUCAUACAUUUCUGUUUCUCUGCAUGCCUUGUGAUUUUUUUUGUUUGAAAAUCAGAUAUUUGAAUCUAAUAAUCUGAUAACUCUGGAAAUCAGACUCUCGCCCUUCCCCAGAGUUUGCUAUUUUUUAAUAUUAUUUUUGUUUAUUUAAACAAAGAUUGCAGACUGUCUCUGUGCCAUAGAUAUGCCUGAGGUAUAAACUUAAGGUCCUUUCAGGUCUUUUCUGAGCUUUCACCUUUCCCUUGGCAUGUGCAGUCACCUUUUAAAUUUCCCUGUUUACAAAGUUGCUUUUUAAUAUCAUGUUCUUCCAUGUUUCUGGCUCCCAAAAGGGGGAAAAGAAAAAAAAUGCAAGGGAGGAAAGAGAGAAUGUUAGUCCUUUAAAUCCCCUGGAAGUCACUUAAGUUGAAAGGAUAGGAGCUUGCAAAAAUGGGUAGAGAUGCAACAAUGGUUGUCAACUUUUUGUCUGCACCUUUGUGAUCUGAAGCACCAAUCAACUAUGGGGCACAGAACCCUGAUAUUUGGAAGAUGGUCUUUGUUUUUGUUUUUUAGUUCCACCCUUGUUCCCACAAGCUAUACAAGGGCUUCUCCUGAAACAUGUGCUCUGCUGCUAGCCAUGGGUCUGGGGUAGGGGAUGGGUCACUGCAACAAUCCUAAGAGUUGAACUUGACUGAAAUUAACAGCAAUUUACUGGUGAAAUUUUUCCUGGAAGUUGCAAGCCUUCAAUAGACCCAGAGUUCCAAAAUAGUUACAUUAGACAGAUUCUACCCAUGCAGGUGGGGAGACAUAUUCCUUGUGCUUCCUACUCUGCCAUCUUCUCCAAAUCCUUUCUAUUUAGUUUUAUUUUGAUUAAAGUCACACGAACAUAGUUGGAAGAUUACACUUGUUAUUCAGAACUUAUUAUGAAAAUUAGCACCUCUAGCUCCACAUCCUCCAUGAAAAACUAUUCCCCAGAGGCAACUAAUUUCAACAACUUUAGUUGAUUCGUUUGGUAUUUACUUCCACAUCUCUAAGUAACAUUCUUAUACUGCUGUUUAUUGACUUUUCAGUUCUAGAUAUUAUCUAUUGAUUUCCCACUAUGGAAAAUGAGGAUUUAGCUCUUUUUUUAAUCCCUGGCCUGUCCCAUCAUGUAAAUGAAUGCUUUUCAUUCUUCUGUACUCCCAAUGUAGUUAUAUCAAAAUUUAGUUAGAUCAUGAUUCUGUAUUUACAUUUUUUGUGACUUUGUAAAUGCCAGUUCCAGCUGAGACAUAAGGUAAAUUUUUAUUACUUUACCUUUUCCUACACUGUGUUUUGUUUUCUCUGGAGUUAACACUUGUUUUAUUUUCUCAUUAUAUUACCUUUUGUCAAACUCAAGUUCAAACUCUCUCAGUUGUGUAAAUCUCUUAUUGUGUUCUAACAUAUUUUGUGUUCUAUAGAUUUAAUAUUCACAUGGAACAAUAUUCCGAGUUUUCUAAUCUGUUCAAGUCAGUUCUCUUUGCCCUCUGCACUUGGCACAUAGCUGUUGUUCUUGGAAUUCCUUUCUCCAUCAUUUUGGGGAUUUCCUUCUCCUCUUCCUUGUAUUGAAUCCCUUGUUUCCUGGAUCUUCUGUUUUCCCAAAGUUUCUGAGAAAGGGUGUGUGGGAGAUGAUUUUUAAAACUCAAAUAUCCAAAAAUGUCUCUAUUCCACACUAAAGUUUGAUUGAUGGUUUGUCUUAAGUAUAAAUUUCUACAUUUAAAAUAUUUUAACAGAAGUUUUACACCACUUCACUAUAUUGUCUUAUAAACUUGACUUUGAGGAUUAUGAUGUCAUUCUGAUUCUAAAUGUUUAUAUGUGACAUAUUACUUCUUUCUUUUCAGAAUCUUGUGAGAUUUGUCUUUGAUGUUUGGUGUUCUGAACUUGGAUGAUAUGCACUGAAGAGGGUCUAUUUUAAUCUAUUGUGCACCAAACUUGAAAAGCUCUUUAAUCUAGCAUCUCAUGAGCUUCACAUCUAGGGAAUUUUUUUUUUAUUAUUUAUUUGAUUAUUCUUGCCCCUUCUCAUUGGCCAUCAUCUCCUAGUAGUUAUGCUGUUGGGCAGUUCCUACAAAAGAAAGAGAUGCCAGGUGUGACCUGCUGGAUAUUGUAGAAAUGAUAUGGAUGAUAUCCAAAGCCAUUCAUAAAAGACAUUUCAGCAUUUUCCUUGGGCUCUUGUAUCACUUGCUUAGUGAAAGCCAGAUGUCAUCUCAAGAAGACACUCAAACUAUCUUAUGAGGAGGCUCACAUGGUGAGGAACUGAAAUCUUAUACCAACAAAGACCACAGACUUGCUUAUCCUAUCAGUGACCCACCUUAGAAGCAGAUUCUUCAGUUACAUUCUUCUUAAGUCAGACCUUAAGAAAACUAAAGCCCUGGCCAAUUAUCCUGCUGAACCUCACAAGAAAUCCAGAGUCAGAACCAUUCAGCUCCUGAACUCAUGGCCACAUGAACUAGGCAGUCCUCUUUCAUGGGACAGCAUUUGAAAAAUCGCAGUAUAAGACACCUAUUGUUUUGCUUGUUCAGCAUUUCUUCUUCUGUUGAAAGAAUAUCUCUUCUUCUCUGGGGGAUCAUCCGUGCAGGUUGGAGGGCUCUCCCUCUUCCCUGAGCCCAGCUUAAAAGAGGAGUCAGACCUCAUCAAUGAGACGCAUACCAGGACUUUGCUAGAGUUAUUGCACAGUGUGUGAUUACUCAACCCACAGAAGGUGAAAGCUUGGAGCUGCUGGUAUCCAUGCCAAACUGUGUGGAGAGAGCUUGCUUGAAAAUGAAGUCAGCAGAACAAAACAGACCCAGCAGAAAGGCUGUGUCCUGCUGAGUGGCUAGAGGUGUGGAAUCUAGCCAUUGCUAAUGUUAUACUACCCUGAGAACCUUCCAGUUACCUGAACCAAUAGAUUUCUUUUUGUUUAAAAACAAAAAUAGAGGAGUUCCUGCUGUGGCACAGUGGGUUAAGAAUCUGAUUGCAGCAGCUCAGGUUUCACUGGAGGUGCAGGUUUAACCUCAGGCCUGGGGCAGUGGGUUAAAGGAUCCUCCUGACCUGGGAACUUCCUUAUGUCAUGGGGGUGGCCAUAAAGAAAAAAAAAAAAAUCUCUGCAUUUGCACUGCUGUAUAUGAUUCUUUCCUGCCUCAUUUUUAAACUGUUUUUUUUUUAUCAUAAGUGAAUAUUUAUUUUUAAGAAACAUUUUUCUGCAUCUAUUGAAAUUAUUAUAUGAGUUUGGCUUGUAAUUAUUAAUAUGAUGAAUUAUAUUGAUUGAUUUUUGGGUUAGUUUUCAACCAUGGGGAAUUUUACAGGGGACAUUUAGCAAUGUCUGGAGAUAUUUUUGCUUAUCAGAAAUAAGGGUGAUGUUGCUGCUAGUAUUUAGUGACUACAGGCCAAUGAUGCUGCUAAACAUUCUGCAAUGAACAGGUUAGUUCCCCAGAGCAAAAAAUUAACCAGCCCCAAAUGGAAAUAUUGUACAGGUUGAGAAACUCUUUAUUAAAUCAAUCUCAUAUUACUGGUAUAACCCAAAUUGUUUAUAUAUAUUUAUUUAACAUUAUAUAUAUAUAUAUAUGUUUGUGUAUGUGUGUAUGUAUAUGUAUGUAUAUAGCUAGAUCCAGUUGGCUUUUAUUUCGGGCAGGACUUUUGCAUCUGUAUUUCUUGAGUGAGGUGGGCCUGUAAUUUUCUCUUUCCAACUACGUUUAUUUUAUUUUGAUAUCAAGAUUUUGUUAGUCUCACAAAAUAAGAUGGGGAGUAUACAUUCUUCUUGUUUUUUGGAAGUCUGUAUUUAAGAUUGCAAUUAUUUAUUCUUUAGAUGUUAGGUAGGAUUCAUAAGAGACAUCCAUAGUUUGGAGUCUCCUCUGUGAAAAAAUUUUAAUCUGCUGAUUCAAUGUAUUUUAUAGUUAUACGAUUGUUCAGAAUUUCUAUUAACAUUUCUUGUAACAUUUAAGUAAGCUAUAUUUUUUCAAGAAUUUAUUUCAUAUAAUUUUCAAAUGUAAAAAAAUUUUCGCCAUAUCACUUUAUAUCUUUAUAGUAUCUACAUAAUAUGUAAUGAUGUACCCUUUUUAAUUUAUAACAUUUGUUAUGUAUGAUUUUUUCUUUUAUUCUUUAUUAACCUUUCUAAAGAACUUCUUUUAAGUUUUUAAUUCUUUGCGUUAGCAUGUUUGUUUUCUAUUUCAUUAAUUCAUGCUCUGAUUCUUAUUCUUUUUCCCUUCUAUUUUUAUUCUGUUAUUUUUGCUAUUUUUUUCUAACUUCUUGAGAUGGGUGGCCUAUUUCCGUUGUAUGUUGUUUCUGUUAAAUUUUCACUCUUUUGUUUCUUGUACACCCUGGUUAUUUUUUUAUUAAAGAAUGGUAGAUUGUAUGUAAUAACUAUUUUUAGGAAUAGUUUUGUACCUAUAAUGGUGCUAUCUUCCUCUACAAAAGAGCUUUGCUUGUUCCUCUUGUCAAGGACUACCUUAAUCCAAGUUAAAGGCUUUAGAUACCUUAACCUCCAGAUGAUGGGAAGUUGAUGCCAGAGCUGAUUUAUUUCUGGUUUAUUCCACCCUGAAGAUCUAGUGAGGAGUGCUUUAACCAGAGUUCCUGAUAAGUUAUGAUAAGCUCUUGGCUCUGACUUUUGUCCCCUUCUCCUGACUCCACGAGGCAACUAGUUCAGGUUGUCUUUAUAACUGUUUAUCCAGGUAUAUUAUCUCAAGGCAAACAUGGCUUAGAGUGAUUUGUCUUAACUCUCUGGGUUGUCUUUGUCUCCCAACAAUUCUUCAGUAUUUUUCAAGUUCUUUGAUGUUUCUAAGAUAUUAUUUUUUAAAAAUUAUGUUUCAGGGAAAG